Molecule: ribosomal RNA, 253 nt
Filed under: uncultured bacterium
Lineage: Bacteria
Description: partial 16S ribosomal RNA
Rfam family: Bacterial small subunit ribosomal RNA
Source: RNAcentral
UACGAGGGGGGCAAGCGUUGUUCGGAAUUAUUGGGCGUAAAGGGUGCGUAGGCGGUUUGACAAGUCUGAUGUGAAAUCUAUGGGCUCAACCCAUAGUCUGCAUUGGAAACUGUCGGGCUUGAGUAUGGGAGAGGAAAGCGGAAUUCCUGGUGUAGCGGUGAAAUGCGUAGAUAUCAGGAGGAACACCUGUGGUGUAGACGGCUUUCUGGACCGUAGCUGACGCUGAGACACGAAAGCGUGGGUAGCAAACAGG